Molecule: long non-coding RNA, 598 nt
Organism: Dicentrarchus labrax (European seabass)
Lineage: Eukaryota; Metazoa; Chordata; Actinopteri; Moronidae
Exons: 2
Source: RefSeq, a predicted model, not a curated record
UACCUGGUAAUAAACCAACAAUUCUACCUGCUUACACUGGAAGAGUUGAGUUUUCUGUGAAUGAUUAUUCUCUGAAAGUGAAGAAUCUACAAGAGGCAGACAGUGGAGUUUAUACUGCACGAGUGACAAGGGAUAGAGAGGAAAUAACUGAAUACAACGUCACAGUUCAAGAUUCUGGACCACUCCACAACGACAUCAAUGUCAUUGUCAUUGUGCUUGUUACUGUAACCCACUGGAUGUGCUGAAGCCUCCCUACACACCCAGAGACUCUGCGUUUGUGUUUAUGGUUGUGAUAGGGUGUUUGCGUGGGGAGAGAAGAGAAGCACUGGAGACAGGAGUUCUGGAUUGUGGCUGAGACCUGGAGACACUUUGUUGGCACACAUUGACAGCUUUCACCUCUGGUCCUCUACACUGGCUGCUGGCUCCGUCACCCUUACACCCUUAUAAUAUUUCUUACAAACUAUAUUCUAGUGCAAAGAAACAAAUAUUGUGUCAAAAUAAUGCUCUACAACUGAAAAUGAUAAAUUACAGGAAGUGUAAAUUAAAUACGGCACUCUAUGACUUCAUAAAAAUAAAUUAAAUGACUUAAAACAGCAAA